Molecule: non-coding RNA, 315 nt
Organism: Phascolarctos cinereus (koala)
Lineage: Eukaryota; Metazoa; Chordata; Mammalia; Diprotodontia; Phascolarctidae
Source: RefSeq, a predicted model, not a curated record
AAUCCUACCAGGGGGUCCGUGAUGGCAUCCCAGGCACGGCCGACAAACAGAAUGAUGGAAGCAGAGAAGGGGUCCACCUGGCACAAGAGACAAACAUCCAGCUCGUCUGUCUUCUUUGGAUGGCCCUGCCCUGAAGUGCCCACCAGUGACUGGAACAGGGGCCAUGGUACAGCUGUGGCUUGUGAGGAAAAGCCUUGGCCUGGUCUUCAGGAAAGAGGAUUGGAUUUCAAAUGUAAAGACCAGGGUUCCAAGCUCACCGAUUCCCUGUAUGAUCUUGGCAUUACGAGGAUCUAAGACAUCUCCAGAGGCCUCGGG